This is a ribosomal RNA of Sinocyclocheilus rhinocerous, 119 nucleotides long. Lineage: Eukaryota; Metazoa; Chordata; Actinopteri; Cypriniformes; Cyprinidae. The record is from Ensembl.
GUUUACGUCUAUACCACCCUGUCGGCGCCCGAUCUCAUCUGAUCUCAGAAGCUAAGCAGGGUCGGGCCUGGUUAGUACUUGGAUGGGAGACCGCCUGGGAAUACCAGGUGCUGUAAGCU